GUGGGGAAUUUUGCGCAAUGGGGGAAACCCUGACGCAGCAACGCCGCGUGGAGGAUGAAAUAUCUUGGUAUGUAAACUCCUUUCGAUGGGGACGAUAAUGACGGUACCCAUAGAAGAAGCCCCGGCUAACUUCGUGCCAGCAGCCGCGGUAAUACGAGGGGGGCAAGCGUUGUUCGGAAUUAUUGGGCGUAAAGGGUGCGUAGGCGGCCAGGCAAGUCUUGUGUGAAAUCGAUGGGCUCAACCCAUCGUCUGCACAGGAAACUGCAGGGCUUGAGAAUGGGAGAGGUGAGUGGAAUUUCCGGUGUAGCGGUGAAAUGCGUAGAUAUCGGAAGGAACACCUGUGGCGAAAGCGGCUCACUGGACCAUUUCUGACGCUGAUGCACGAAAGCUAGGGGAGCAAACAGG
RNAcentral lists this ribosomal RNA (405 nucleotides) under uncultured Bryocella sp. RNAcentral describes it as "bacterial SSU rRNA". It matches the Rfam family "Bacterial small subunit ribosomal RNA", at positions 354 to 776 of the family's 1533-position model. Lineage: Bacteria; Pseudomonadati; Acidobacteriota; Terriglobia; Terriglobales; Acidobacteriaceae. The record is from RNAcentral.